CAUCGAUAAAGGCAAAACUACCCAAAGGUAGUGACGCAAAACUAUAGGGGCUUCCCGUUUAAACGGUUGCCAGCCAGUUGCCGAA
RNAcentral lists this non-coding RNA (85 nucleotides) under Sulfobacillus thermosulfidooxidans. RNAcentral describes it as "c-di-GMP sequence". It matches the Rfam family "c-di-GMP-I riboswitch aptamer". Rfam says of the family: GEMM was predicted in a large-scale screen for bacterial structured RNA regulatory elements. Genes associated with GEMM are involved in a diverse array of functions, including chemotaxis regulation, signal transduction, secretion and chitin. Lineage: Bacteria; Bacillati; Bacillota; Clostridia; Eubacteriales; Clostridiales Family XVII. Incertae Sedis. The record is from RNAcentral.